UACAGAGGGGGCAAGCGUUGUUCGGAAUUACUGGGCGUAAAGGGCGCGUAGGCGGCCUGCUAAGUCGAACGUGAAAUCCCUGGGCUCAACCCAGGAACUGCGUCCGAUACUGGUUGGCUUGAAUCCGGGAGAGGGAUGUGGAAUCCCAGGUGUAGCGGUGAAAUGCGUAGAUAUCUGGAGGAACACCGGUGGCGAAGGCGACAUCCUGGACCGGUAUUGACGCUGAGGCGCGAAAGCCAGGGGAGCAAACGGG
Molecule: ribosomal RNA, 253 nt
Filed under: uncultured bacterium
Lineage: Bacteria
Description: partial 16S ribosomal RNA
Rfam family: Bacterial small subunit ribosomal RNA
Source: RNAcentral